Lactuca sativa (garden lettuce) is the source of this 1063-nucleotide long non-coding RNA. RefSeq lists it as uncharacterized. Lineage: Eukaryota; Viridiplantae; Streptophyta; Magnoliopsida; Asterales; Asteraceae. The record is from RefSeq and is a predicted model, not a curated record.
ACUUAGCCUCACGUUAGGUGAACCACUAUAGUUCUCAUUUUUGGUUUGAAUCUUCUUUCCUUUAACUUUUAUAUUUUUGCAUCAACUUUUGUUAUUAUUAUUAUUUUUUUGUAACUGAGGUCGGAAAUUUGUAUCUUAAAAUGCUCUGUAAUUUAUAUUUAUAUAAAAUCAAGUAUGUUCUAAUUACUUUGUAAACGUUAUCAUGGGUGUGCAACGAGUUUUUAUAUCCUAUAAACAUCAACACCACUUUCCCAAGGGUGCACUACAUUUCACAAGUGUUUAUAUUACUUAAACGUUCCUUUGAAAAGGGAUUUUCAAUUAUAUUAUUGUAUGAUUUUGAGUAAUAACCCUAUUCUUUUUUUCAGUAGACUUUAAAAGGUCAAUACAUAUUUAUGAUUUGCAUCCCAUACUGACAUACUCCCAUGCAUGUACUAAGAACUAAGAAGUAAACAUGUUCUAAUAAAUCAAUACAUUUAAAAACAACAUCUAGCGUUUGUAGUCCAACGGUUAGGAUAAUUGCCUUCCAAGCAAUAGACCCGGGUUCGACUCCCGGCAAACGCAAUUUUUUUGAUCAGUUAAAUCACAAAAUAGACCGCUAAAAUUCCAAUUUCAACCUUCUCGUUUGCCGCGAUAAUUCCAGAACCCUCCAAAACUCAUUUUUCUCGUCUUCCUCGAAAAAUCAUAUUCCCUUGCUGCAUUUCAAUUCGGUUUCAUGAACUCCCUACAGAAUGGCGUUGGAAGCCUUUUUGUUCUCCCUCCCUCCCUCUCUUAAUUCGGCUACAACCGGACAGUUAUAAAAGUUUAUUGUUUCAAGUUCAGCGGAUGGCCGCGCGAAGGCGAAUGCGUGACCAUACACUUUCUCAAUUGAUGAUUAUGAUUUCUGGGAACUCUGAUGUUUAAACUAUUCUGAAAACAAAUUGUAAUAAUUGAAUGGUUUUAAAUGAUUUAAAAAGUUUUAAAUUGGCUCGAAUUUUAUGGAUGUUACAAAUACACAUGUCAACAUUUAGCAUGGAUGGAAGGAUGAGUAUGAAUAAAAUAUAUGAGGAUAUUUAAUUUUUCUUCU